This 461-nucleotide ribosomal RNA is filed under the name uncultured Rhodocyclaceae bacterium. RNAcentral describes it as "bacterial SSU rRNA". It matches the Rfam family "Bacterial small subunit ribosomal RNA", at positions 923 to 1382 of the family's 1533-position model. The record is from RNAcentral. Lineage: Bacteria; Pseudomonadati; Pseudomonadota; Betaproteobacteria; Rhodocyclales; Rhodocyclaceae.
GCACAAGCGGUGGAUGAUGUGGAUUAAUUCGAUGCAACGACGAAAACCUUACCUACCCUUGACAUGUCCGGAAUCCCGAAGAGAUUUGGAGUGCUCGCAAGAGAACCGGAACACAGGUGCUGCAUGGCUGUCGUCAGCUCGUGUCGUGAGAUGUUGGGUUAAGUCCCGCAACGAGCGCAACCCUUGUCAUUAGUUGCCAUCAUUUGGUUGGGCACUCUAAUGAGACUGCCGGUGACAAACCGGAGGAAGGUGGGGAUGACGUCAAGUCCUCAUGGCCCUUAUGGGUAGGGCUUCACACGUCAUACAAUGGUCGGUACAGAGGGUUGCCAACCCGCGAGGGGGGAGCUAAUCCCACAAAGCCGAUCGUAGUCCGGAUCGCAGUCUGCAACUCGACUGCGUGAAGUCGGAAUCGCUAGUAAUCGCGGAUCAGCCAUGCCGCGGUGAAUACGUUCCCGGGCCUU